This 253-nucleotide ribosomal RNA is filed under the name uncultured bacterium. RNAcentral describes it as "partial 16S ribosomal RNA". It matches the Rfam family "Bacterial small subunit ribosomal RNA", at positions 524 to 776 of the family's 1533-position model. The record is from RNAcentral.
UACGUAGGGUGCGAGCGUUAAUCGGAAUUACUGGGCGUAAAGCGUGCGCAGGCGGUUCGUGAUGUCUGGUGUGAAAGCCCCGGGCUUAACCUGGGAAUUGCAUUGGAAACUAGCGGGCUGGAGUGUGGCAGAGGGGGGUGGAAUUCCACGUGUAGCAGUGAAAUGCGUAGAGAUGUGGAGGAACACCUGCGGCGAAGGCGGGUUGCUGGGCUGAUACUGACGCUGAGGCGCGAAAGCCAGGGGAGCGAACGGG